Molecule: transfer RNA, 75 nt
Filed under: Patescibacteria group bacterium
Lineage: Bacteria
Description: tRNA-Arg
Rfam family: tRNA
About the family: Transfer RNA (tRNA) molecules are approximately 80 nucleotides in length. Their secondary structure includes four short double-helical elements and three loops (D, anti-codon, and T loops). Further hydrogen bonds mediate the characteristic L-shaped molecular structure. tRNAs have two regions of fundamental functional importance: the anti-codon, which is responsible for specific mRNA codon recognition, and the 3' end, to which the tRNAs corresponding amino acid is attached (by aminoacyl-tRNA synthetases). tRNAs cope with the degeneracy of the genetic code in two manners: having more than one tRNA (with a specific anti-codon) for a particular amino acid; and 'wobble' base-pairing, i.e. permitting non-standard base-pairing at the 3rd anti-codon position.
Source: RNAcentral
GCGGGCGUAGCUCAACGGAUAGAGUGCCGGUCUUCGGAACCGGUGAUGGGGGUUCGAUUCCCUCCGCCCGCACCA